RNAcentral lists this ribosomal RNA (370 nucleotides) under uncultured bacterium. RNAcentral describes it as "bacterial SSU rRNA". It matches the Rfam family "Bacterial small subunit ribosomal RNA", at positions 524 to 898 of the family's 1533-position model. The record is from RNAcentral.
UACGGAGGAUCCAAGCGUUAUCCGGAAUCAUUGGGUUUAAAGGGUCCGUAGGCGGUUUAAUAAGUCAGUGGUGAAAGCCCAUCGCUCAACGAUGGAACGGCCAUUGAUACUGUUAAACUUGAAUUACUAUGAAGUAACUAGAAUAUGUAGUGUAGCGGUGAAAUGCUUAGAUAUUACAUGGAAUACCAAUUGCGAAGGCAGGUUACUAAUAGUGUAUUGACGCUGAUGGACGAAAGCGUGGGGAGCGAACAGGAUUAGAUACCCUGGUAGUCCACGCCGUAAACGAUGGAUACUAGUUGUUGGGCGCAAGUUCAGUGGCUAAGCGAAAGUGAUAAGUAUCCCACCAGGGGAGUACGUUCGCAAGAAUGAA